RNAcentral lists this non-coding RNA (930 nucleotides) under Agalychnis saltator (misfit leaf frog). Its description in RNAcentral is "12S ribosomal RNA". It matches the Rfam family "Bacterial small subunit ribosomal RNA". Lineage: Eukaryota; Metazoa; Chordata; Amphibia; Anura; Hylidae. The record is from RNAcentral.
AAAGGUUUGGUCCUGACCUUAAAAUCAACUGAUACUUAACUUACACAUGCAAGUUUCCGCACCCCCGUGAGAACGCCCUAAAAUCCCUUCUGGGUUAAGGAGCCGGUAUCAGGCGCACUCUAUAGCCCAAGACACCUAGCUAUGCCACUUCCUCAAGGAAUUUCAGCAGUGAUUAAAAUUGUAUAUAAGCGACAGCUAGAUUCAGUUAAAGUAUAACAGAGCCGGCAAAACUGGUGCCAGCCGCCGCGGUUACACCAAAUGGCCCAAGUUGAUUUAACUCGGCGUAAAGCGUGAUUAAAGACCCCACAAAUUAAAAUUAAACCUCCACUAAGCUGUGACACGCUUGUGUAAGGGAAAAUCAUAAACGAAAGUUAUUUUAAUUUAAACGACUUGAAACCACGACAGUUAAGGUCAAACUGGGAUUAGAUACCCCACUAUGCUUAACCGUAAACUUUUAUUUACAUCCUUAACGCCAGGGAACUACAAGCAAAGCUUAAAACCCAAAGGACUUGACGGUACCCCAUAUCCCCCUAGAGGAGCCUGUCCUAUAAUCGAUAACCCCCGUUUAACCUCACCAUUUUUAGCAUAACAGCCUGUAUACCUCCGUCGUCAGCUUACCACGUGAGCGAAAUCUAGUAAGCCUAAUGUCCUCUUACGUCAAUACGUCAGGUCAAGGUGCAGCAAACAAAAUGGAAAGAGAUGGGCUACACUUUCUAUUUUAGAAAAUACGAAAGACUAUCUAUGAAACCUAGUCAGAAGGCGGAUUUAGCAGUAAAAAUGAACUAGAGAGUCCUUUUUAAUUUGGCACUGGGGUGUGUACACACCGCCCGUCACCCUCUUCAAAGCUAUAGAUUAGUAUCUAACAAAUUAAUGCAUUAAAGAAGAGGUAAGUCGUAACAUGGUAAGUAUACCGGAAGGUGUGCUUGGAAA